Long non-coding RNA from Gadus macrocephalus (Pacific cod), 1436 nucleotides. RefSeq lists it as uncharacterized. The record is from RefSeq and is a predicted model, not a curated record. Lineage: Eukaryota; Metazoa; Chordata; Actinopteri; Gadiformes; Gadidae. The transcript has 2 exons.
CGUAGACAGGCAUGACAAAAACAUAAAUAAAACAUAAGAUCUACCCCCAACCAAUUACCUUUUGAUUAAAGGUGCUUAAUAAAUACAUUUGUUUUGAUUGCAUUUUACAGACCCAUACAAUGAUAGGGCGCUUACGUCCUUCACCGUUGCUUCUUUACCCAUAAAAAGCUACAGUCAGUGUUAAAUGACGCUGAAUCACCUUUGAGCAUUUCCUAUUAUAGGCUACCGUGCAAAAAAUGCUGUUUAGAAUGAAUGUUAGUAUCAAGAAAAGAAAGACCCACCGGUGGGGGGAGACCUUAUGUUUUAUUUAUGUUUUUGUUAUAAUGCAAACGUGCAUGUUGCAGAGAAUGUGCAACAGCGCCCCCUGGGGUCACACUUUUCGGUGGGUCGCAGAAUUCGGUGUUACACCGGCUUGGCAGUGUAAAAAGGCCUAAGGAGCGAAAGCGGAUAUGUCCGUCCUACAUCGAAACUUUUUACAAUGCAACAAAAUAUUUGAAGAUCAUCAAGCUAUUAUGCACAGAUGUUAUAACAGUAUAUUAUUCAGUCAUUUGUAUCAGGUUAAACAAGGCCCAUCCACAACUCCUGGCGCCGUGCCUGGUGUGUGUGUGUGUGUGUGUGUGUGUGUGUGUGUGUGUGUGUGUGUGUGUGUGUGUGUGUGUGUGUGUGUGUGUGUGUGUGUGUGUGUGUGUGUGUGUGUGUGUGUGUGUGUGUUACGUUUUAAUCUUUGCCGUAGGCUUGUCUUAUAUGGCCAAUCUGUUUCAAUUUGAUGUGAUGACACGCCGAGUUCUUGCAGUUUUACCCAUGUUUACAAUUUUUAACCGGUGUAUUGUCAGCAAUGACCGAAACCGGUGAAGCCUUCAAUAAAUGUGAUUCAGCGAUGCAUGGGUUAAUGCAGUUUUGCGCAAGUUUAAAAUGUUUCCUAGUAAUUUGUCAGCUGCGAUCACUACCUUUAAUUAAUUCCACCUUUAUGUCAUAAAUAUAACAUGCUAUUGAUUAAUGUUUUUAUGGUGCAUCUUGGCUAUUUUAUGUUCAAUCAAAUUGGCUUUGCCUGCCGCAUUUGAACAUUUCUGGCUACGCCACUGCCAAGAGGAAAACCUAUACCUUCAAGAUAACAGCCUGCUGUGACACAGCUGACUCGCGGACUCAUGGGAUGUAACCGGGCUCUGACUAGACGGCGUAUCGACCUCCAUGACAAACGUCGAUUAGACUUGUGAUCGACGACGAAAUGUUUGCUGGGACUCGACUCCUCCCAGACACACUAGUCGCUGAGUCGCUGAGUCUCUGUUUGUUCACUGAUGGGAGUGGUGAAGAGGGUAGAGGCUUAGUGAGCGAGUGUAGGCCUAUGAUAACACGAUUCAAUAUCAGUGAAAUGGUAAAUGCAUGCUGUCUUUGUAUUUUCGGUGUCAUGCCAGAUUAAUAUAAUAUUGAAUGUCUCG